AUGUUGGGACAGAUGAGGCUAGCCCCUUGGUGGUAUUUCCACCCUAGGAAGAUGGAGGCUGAGCAGAAGGCCUUAGGGACACUGAAGAAAGAAGUGGGCAACCUACACCCCUUAUUCUUGGGCCCUCAUGGGGCAUACCAGCCCCUUGUGGAUUCCAAAGAAUUCCCAGUCAAAACAGUGACACCAAAGCCAAGGCCCAACUCUCACUACCCUCACAGCUCUACUGGCCUGAUCCAGGCUCCCACCUCCCUUUGCCCCCUGUCUAUUUCAAGUGCCAAGGCAAAAGAGUACAUCCAGCUCUUCUGGGGUCUCCCUUCUCUUCACAGUGAAUCCUUGGGGGUCACAUUCCCAAAGUCCCAAAGUGGUCCCACUGGGACCACUAAUCAACAUCCACCCUCUGACACUCCUCUUAUCUUCUUCAAUGAGCUUUCUUACCUCCCCUUGCCCAACCUAUUGGUUAAAACUGUGUCUCUUCCUCCCCCACACCUCCCCUCAAUCUCUCCCCUCCCGGUCUUGCAUGGAAACUGUGAGGCUACAGAAAUGGCAUCCACUGAGCUCCCAAAUGAACCAGAAAUCCCAUGGCAGGCCUCUGAGCCCCAAAACCCAAUCCUACCUUUACUAUCUGCCUCACAUUCCCCAGUGAAGCCUCAAGAAGCUGAAUUCAUGGAAGUCACAAAAGUGAUGGCUUCAGAUGAACAUGAGGUCCCCGGGCCUCAGGAGGUGCAACCUAGUGAACUACCCUGGACCCCUGAAUCUCUAGUCCAGACCCCCAGCCCACCCUCAGUCCCCCUUCCUAUACCCCAAGAUCCAGUGGAAGACCCCAAAGUGACAGGCUCUGAGGCUCUGUUGGAGGACCAAUGGCAGAACCAGUUUCCCCAGGACCCUGACCCCUCAGCCCCAGCCCUCAAUGCAUCUCCACCAUGUCUGCUUGAGCCUCAGGGAGCUAGCCUCAUGGGAGCCUCACAUGGGAGUGAGACCGCCCCCCUCACUCUUCAUGGGCCCAAGGCCUCAUGCUAUAACACCCAGCAAAGUGAACUGCCCUGGGCUGCUGAGACUCCAGCCUCCUGCCUCAGCCUGCACACCUCACCUGAACCCCAAGGAACUGGCUUUACAGAAAAUCCCCUUGUGAUUCCUCAUGUACCUGAGGUCCCACGGUAUGCCAUGCAAGAGAAAGAACCUCCCUGGCCUACUGGGCCUCCAACUCCAGUGCUUAACAUGAACCCCCAGACUGAGCUGCAAGGAGCCAGCUCCAUAGAAGUACCAAAUGGGACAGCCUCAAGUUGGGACAGAACGCAGACCCAACCUCCUUGGACCUCAGUUCUGCAAUUCCCCCAGGCUGAACCUCAAGGAGCCAACUUUGAGGAAAGCCCUGUCCCUUUAGCUAGUCCUGAGCUCCCAGGAUGGGAAGUCCAGCAAAUACAUCAGCCCUGUACCCCAAGGCACAAUACCCCUCCCCUGGAGCAGACCUGGCCUACCACUUUGAGGGUGCCAGCUGAAACUCAAGAGGACAAGCACCACCCACCAGGAUCCCUCACAGGAGAUAUAGUCUCAAUGUCCAGGACAGUGACCUCCAUGCCCCAGGAGGACGGAGCAAUAGGAAAAGCACCUCUCCACCCCCAGGGGACCCUGAGCCUUGGAACUGAAGGGUGUCCCCGGAACAAAGAAUCCAGAAUUCAGAUUAAGAAAUACCAGUUUAACCCUGGUCCCCAUUCCCUAGCUCCCAGCCCCCCACUCCCUGGCCAAUUUUUACCUAGGAUCCCAAUUCAACAAGACCUGUGCCCCCUGGCUACCUCCUUCUACCCCUCAACUUGUCAGAUUCCAGCCCCCAACCCUACCUGCCAAGGGUCUGUAGGAGCCCUGUCCUCUAACUGUGCCCAUGUCCAAGCAAAGAAGGUUAUGUCUCAAGAUACUCAACCCCUACACUGCCAUCCUCCUGUGGCCCCUCAGCUACAGCUGCUGAAGCUUGCUAGAGACAGGCAGGGCCCUGCCAGGGAGGGGAGAGAAGUCCCCUUGAUGCCUCUCCAGACUCCUGACCUCCAGGCCAGCAAGGUCCCAGAGCCCCAGUCCCUGAGCCAGUACAACAAGAACAUGGCAGCCGCCAAAAUGCCACGUGCACCCAAGAGGGCAAGACAAGAAAGAUCUGGGGGGUCAGAGCCUCCAGACCCAGACAAGAGCCAAGCCAAGACCACACUCCCCAGCCGGAAGAGAGAACACUCUAGGAAAUCCAAAACUGGAGACCAGGGAGGAGGGGAUGCAGGAUGGGGAGUGUCCCCAUCCAAAGGAAAGAAUCACUCAUCAGAGGGCAAGAAGCUUUCAAGUCACUAUCCUGCAAGAAGGCCCUUAGUGUCACCACGUGAGAGGAACAGGAAUCUUUGUCAGACUGCUUCCCGUCCAGAGCUACCCCAGCCUUCUAAGGCUGAGAUUUCCCAAGUUCUGCCCUCACAGGGCCCUUCAAAGGGUCAGGGAGCAGGUGGUGGUGACAUCUUGGACUCCCGACACCAGCAGAACCGCCCCCAAGGGGGCCGAGGUCCAUGA
Molecule: long non-coding RNA, 2535 nt
Organism: Phascolarctos cinereus (koala)
Lineage: Eukaryota; Metazoa; Chordata; Mammalia; Diprotodontia; Phascolarctidae
Source: Ensembl